This 573-nucleotide ribosomal RNA is filed under the name uncultured fungus. RNAcentral describes it as "eukaryotic LSU rRNA". The stretch from base 156 to 309 matches the Rfam family "5.8S ribosomal RNA". The record is from RNAcentral. Lineage: Eukaryota; Fungi.
AAGUCGUAACAAGGUUUCCGUAGGUGAACCUGCGGAAGGAUCAUUAAUGAUUUUUAAAGCGAGUCGAGCGUUAAGCGAGGCUUUGCGAAAUAUUUAAAACCCCACUCUUUUUAACUUUAAAUAAUAAAUCAUGACGCAUGAAUUUAAAAAAAGAUCACUUUCAACAACGGAUCUCUUGGCUCUCGCACCGAUGAAGAACGCAGCGAAAUGCGAUAAGUAGUGUGAAUUGCAUAAUUUUGUGAAUCAUCGAAUCUUUGAACGCAAAUUGCACUCCCUGGUAUUCCGGGGAGUAUGCCUGUUUGAGGGUCGUUAGAACAAAAAUCGAAGCGUCGCUCUUUUUUUUAAGGGUGAUCGCGUCGGAAUUGAGCCGUCUUUCAAAUGUUAAUGCAUGUCAAAGUGGCUUAAAAUUCAUCCAUCCGGUACGAUUAAAGCGUAUUUAAGAUCAAUUUUGAUUAAGAACGCGCGAUGAACGUACCAUCUCAUGUAGUACGUUUGACCUGGGUCGUCAGGUUCACUCGUAUACGAUACUCAAACUUUUGACCUCAAAUCAGGUAAGAAUACCCGCUGAACUUA